This 253-nucleotide ribosomal RNA is filed under the name uncultured bacterium. Its description in RNAcentral is "partial 16S ribosomal RNA". It matches the Rfam family "Bacterial small subunit ribosomal RNA", at positions 524 to 776 of the family's 1533-position model. The record is from RNAcentral.
UACAGAGGUCCCAAGCGUUGUUCGGAUUCACUGGGCGUAAAGGGUGCGUAGGUGGCCAGGUAAGUUCGAUGUGAAAUCUCCGGGCUUAACCCGGAAAGUGCAUUGAAUACUAUCUGGCUAGAGGGUUGGAGGGGAGACUGGAAUUCUCGGUGUAGCAGUGAAAUGCGUAGAUAUCGAGAGAAACACCAGUGGCGAAGGCGAGUCUCUGGACAACUCCUGACACUGAGGCACGAAAGCUAGGGGAGCAAACAGG